Phragmites australis (common reed) is the source of this 4021-nucleotide long non-coding RNA. RefSeq lists it as uncharacterized. Lineage: Eukaryota; Viridiplantae; Streptophyta; Magnoliopsida; Poales; Poaceae. The transcript has 3 exons. The record is from RefSeq and is a predicted model, not a curated record.
AUAAAAGGAUUCCGAUGCAUCCGGAGCCUCGACCGCCUCUCCACGACGCGUGCUCCCUAGCCAACGAUAGCCGUCGGCUGUCGCCUCCCGUACGCGUGCGUCGCGUCGUAGGUGCCUAGGCGCGGAUUCGCACGCGUCGUCUCCGCACGGGGAAGCUGAGCCAAGGAUCCGCGCGGGCAAGAUGGAUCUGGGCGGCAGCGGCCUAGAUCCACGCACGGAGGUGUCACGCGAGCCGUGCCCGAGGCGGCGCAGAGGUGCUCCUCGAGCGGCGGCGGGACGGGUCCCUGGGUGGAGGCGCGAAUUCUAGGUAGCAUGGAGAAGCUCCAGGCGACGCAGCUAAUCCCCGAUUGGUGAGCGUGGGUCUUUUGCAUGCUUCCUGCUAUGUGAUCAUGAAGCUGAAUAGCUGAUGGAUGGGCUAUAUAAUUUUGUUGGCGUAUCUGCUACAUUCCCUCCAAGGUUUUGCACAUGCUCCCUUUCUGUAUGACAAUGAAGCUGAUAGAUGGGCUGUAUAGUUUUGCAACACUAACGACAGGCGUUCUAUGUUCACAUGAUCCCAGGUAGUUUUUGAGUUCUAUGUGCAAAUGUUGUUCCUUUUUGUCAUUAUGACAUGCUAACCAACUCCAUUUUGACCUAAUUCACAACAUGUCGCUUCUAUGUGGCCUUACUUUCUAAUUGUUAUAAAAGAGCUGCAUGGAGUAUAUAUCAACAUAAGUGCUAUAUAUGAUGUCUGCAUGCACCUAUGACUAAUACCUUCAAAAGGUUGACUUCAACAAUUUUUGCCAAAGAGCUAGGUCCUUUCCCUAGCUAAAUCAACCCUUUCCCUAGCUAAAUCAACUAUGUAUUAUGGGUGUCAUUGUGAUUAGGGUAAAAUUCAUUUCAUCGCUUGCUUUUGAUUCCUUUCAAUUUAUGCUUCAUCUAUUGAUUCAUUAGGAUUCCUAAUGCUUUAUUUCACUAAUUGCUAACUGACAUUGUUCCUCAUCUCUUUUAAUAGUAUUUAUAAUGGUUACUUCACCUUAUUGUUCACUAAUUUGAUUUCCCAUCUCUUUGUCAACUUGAACGUCCAUAAUCUUCACGUAGGACAUUAUUCCCUUCUUAAAAAAUUUGACACGAAAUAGCUGUUGACAUCCUUUUUUGUGGUUUGGUGAAAAAUUUGCAUUGGUGUGUUGGUGUCAGAAAUUAGUUUGUAUUUGGAAAUGCAGAAAAGCAAUGCAUUAGCCUUUCAGAUACAGCCUACCAGUGCUUUGGCUAAAUAAUUCAGUUGUACAAUUGAGCAUUCGUUUGUGGUAUCGAAGACGCGUCGGUGAGACAAAUCAUAACAUUUGUAGUGUGUUUCUGUGCUUUAUGAACUACUACUUGGUUUGCCAAGAAACAAGGUAAGCUGUUUCUGUGAUUUUAUUUCCCCCGUUUCUAUUUGCCAGACAUCUUGCAGUCUUGCAGGUUAUAUUGUCCUGUGCUAAAUUUUUCUCAGGCAUUGUAUUUACCUUUCUCAAUUAAUUUAAGGUUUGCUAUAGCGCCCAGCAUUCCAGAAAUUGUCAAAUUUAAUCGCUCAAGCCUCAAGCAAAGAAUUUGAACUUUGUUCAGGUUCCACCUUUUUGUUUUGACACCCAACAUUAAUCGUUACAUAUUUCUUCUUUUAGCUUCAUGACACUGAUAAUGCUAUAUAUCAUUUGGGGGUAAAUCUAGAGCACAAAAGACCAUACAAAGGUGUCAGUUUUAUUUUGUACAUCAAAAUAGACAACAAGGAAAAACAUCUUUUAUGCAGAUAACAAAAAUAAAAGCUUUGAUAUCUUUACUUUCAUAUAUUCCAGCAGAACAUUACUAAUUUAUUCUCCCAAAGAAAUAUUUUUUGCUUUGUAGGCCACAGGAAGAUGUUCUCUUGCUGUUCUUUUGAGUCUCAGUCUAGCAUAUUCUUCGUAGUCUCCAUUUUGGUUCGGCAAAUGCUUGGUGCCUUUUUCUUAUGGCAACCUCGAGACUCCUAAUUUAAAUCGUGUAUUUUCACAUGCUUUAGCACUUCUUAAGUUCAUUUUACAGUUUUAUUGUUGUUGUGUUCAUGCUUCCUGCUUCUGUUCAAUUUCAUGCAUCCUUUCUUGCAACAUUACGAGAGGGAAGCAGCAUCAGGCAAUUGCAUGGUGCCAACAGUGCUUUUCAUUUCUAUUAGUUCUUUCAGAUUUAGAUUUUAAUAUCCAUGAUCAGACUCAGCUGUCAAAAUGAUUGGACUAAAUUGGUGUUUAUGUUCAGGAUGUUUUAGUGUUACUUCAAAUUCCAUAUACAUGUUGUCUUUGGCCAGCUGACUGAACUGAACCUUUUAGCAAGACUAAGAUAUAUAUGGUCCUUGGGCACUGAAAUGUAGGAGAGCUAUUUGAUGAAAAUCGUAAGGAUUCUGCUCAUCUCUUCAAACUAAGCAUGAUUUAUGAACCAACGAAGCAAAUUCUUUGUUUCAAAUAAGAUUUCAAUGCAUGACAAACAUUACCAAACAUGCGCCACCAGAUAGCCCAAACACGACGGCGCAGCGUAGCCUGCCUUCCGUUCCGUCCUAGUUAAUUUCAAACUCGAAAAAUUCUAGGACCUAAGCGAUCCAUAUCAAAGUAUUGUCUUCUGAGUGAGGGGCUAAACUGUACUCGGAAGUACGCACGUUUAAUCCAUGUGUCCGUAGCCAAAAAGAAAUACCAAAUAACAUAAUAUAUUAAUCGUGUGAAGGCAUGAACGUGUUGCCUUGUUCAGAUCACUUGCACAGUGUUGUAUGAUUCUUGUAGUUGCAUAAUGAUGUAUCUAUGCUAUAUGUAUAGUGCCUCGCCCUCAUUUUAUGUCAAGUUUUUUUAUGGGAAUCAAGCAUUUCAUUAAACUAUAGGCAUAGCUGGCUACCAAGUCCAAAAUACAACUUGCAUGUAACACUCACCGGACAUUUCAAUUCUAGUAUCUGUUCAUUUGGAGCAAAAUUGACUUGUUCGCCUUUUAGUACCAUGCGCAUAGUUAGUUUGCUUCAUGUAGCAUUUUCCCUUCUGUCAGUGCACACGCAACACCACGGUGACUACCAAAUGUUGGACACGGGCGAUCAAUGCGGACGCAACACCACGGUGACUCCAUUUUCUUUAACAAAAUGCCAUGUUAUUCCAGAUUGAAGAAAAAAUAACAACCUCAUCAUCAGAAGAGAGGAUAAGAAAAGAUGACUACUCAAUGUCAGCUACGACUACGAGCCAAAUGGAUGCUUCGGCAGAAUCAGCAUUUGGGAGCACCUCUUGCCAUUCCCAAAGCUCCCUCGUAGGUCUUGUUGCCCCCAGUGAAGCCACUCAUAUGAACAAACACACAGCCGGGAACGCGAGUUUCCUUGGACAGCUCGUCGUCUCUCAAGCCCCUCCACUUUUCUGGCAGAUCCUUCCUGCUCUCAAACCUAUCGGGAGCAACGGACACAGCUUGCACUCGCCAACUUUUGCUCCUCUCAUCCUGCAAUCAUGUGGACAAAAUCAAAUAAAUACACGUAUCAGAUACGGCGCGAUACUUCCCCGGUACGUCCAGCGCUCGGCGUCGAAGAGGACUACUGCCACCGGCGGCGAACAGGCCGAGCCGGCGUGGGGGCUUGGGGGCGCAGUAGCGGCCAAAGCAAAUUGGGCGGUCUCCAGCGAAAUUGAGAGUACUGGAGAGAAGAGGAAGCCUUGGGAAACCGAUUUUGCUGGCCAUUGAUGCGAGGUGAUGCUGGCAGCGAUCGAUUUGUCGCCGGCGGCGCUGCUUUGCGUGGAAGCAGAGAGAGAGAGAGCUAGGAAGAAACAGACGGGGGCGGCUGCGUGCUCGCGUUACCGUUACCAGUGAGAAUAGAAUAGGUUCGUCUAAAAAAAAUAGAAUAGAUUUACAUGGGCUGGAUGGGCCGAUGGACCCAAAGAAAUGUGAGCUAGCCCCAAAAAUUCAUGUCAAACUAGAUCGAUGUAUUCAAACCCGAAAAAUUCUAGGUCCUACGCGAUACGAUCCACGCCAAAAUAGUGUCAUCGAUGGAGAGCCAAAAUUGAUUAGCACCCGGCGGAUCAGGGGG